UUCUCUCUCUUGAAGAAACAGGUACCUACGAUUGUAAAAGCUUUACACCGACAGCUAAAGGAGAAAAGCAUGAGAUGUAGGCAAAGCUGCUUCAGUCUCCUGACAGAGAUGACAAAUGUACUGCCUGGUCAACUGGGAGAACACAUACCAGCCCUCAUUCCAGAUAUUAUUUACUCAUUGACAGACAAGUCAACCUCUUCAAAUCUGAAAAUUGACGCCUUGCUUUCCUCAAU
Molecule: long non-coding RNA, 233 nt
Organism: Cyprinus carpio (common carp)
Lineage: Eukaryota; Metazoa; Chordata; Actinopteri; Cypriniformes; Cyprinidae
Exons: 3
Source: RefSeq, a predicted model, not a curated record